RNAcentral lists this ribosomal RNA (429 nucleotides) under uncultured bacterium. RNAcentral describes it as "bacterial SSU rRNA". It matches the Rfam family "Bacterial small subunit ribosomal RNA", at positions 355 to 776 of the family's 1533-position model. The record is from RNAcentral.
UAGGGAAUCUUCCGCAAUGGGCGAAAGCUUGACGGAGCAACGCCGCGUGAGUGAUGAAGGUCUUCGGAUCGUGAAACUCUGUUAUUAGGGAAGAACAAAUGUGUAAGUAACUAUGCACGUCUUGACGGUACCUAAUCAGAAAGCCACGGCUAACUACGUGCCAGCAGCCGCGGUAAUACGUAGGUGGCAAGCGUUAUCCGGGAUUAUUGGGCGUAAAGCGCGCGUAGGCGGUUUUUUAAGUCUGAUGUGAAAGCCCACGGCUCAACCGUGGAGGGUCAUUGGAAACUGGAAAACUUGAGUGCAGAAGAGGAAAGUGGAAUUCCAUGUGUAGCGGUGAAAUGCGCAGAGAUAUGGAGGAACACCAGUGGCGAAGGCGACUUUCUGGUCUGUAACUGACGCUGAUGUGCGAAAGCGUGGGGAUCAAACAGG